CGUCAUGGAAACGCCGAUCAGUCGCAAACGCAGAAUUGAACAAGAUAGACGCAAAACACACGAUAUGGAAGAUUUGUUUGAGCCGGUCGUCAGAAUUGAACAGCUUAGAGAUCUGCAAGCAAAAUAUGCUCAGGAGGCGAGAGAAAAAGUAUAAAAAGAUAUCAAAAUAGAGAGAAAUCGUGGCAUAAGUUUCGAUGGUUAUGUUGCCGGUUUUGGUUUCGAUAAUUACUACACUUUGUGCAGAUCGGAGCAUUAUUUGAGAACAGGUAAUGAAUACUAGUAUACAGCACGUACAAAAUUCGACCAACUGUUGCCUUAUACUGGGUUAAAAAUCUACCCAGUGUUUGACGACAUAACCAGACAUAGCAUCGGCCACAUAACGCCACAAUCGCCGUCGCCGGUCAUCACUAGUAUUAACGAGAAACAAACACUCAGCUUUGAAGCCCUGUUGCUAGGAGACUGUCCGCAUGUCACCAUAGAAGAACUUCUUAGAGCUCCACUUGAGAUUUCAUCUGUUCCGGUUUCGGAGCUGGUGACAGAGAGAAACGCUUGAGUAUUGGAAAACGGUUCUGCUCUUGCCGGAUAUCUCGUCGACAACGACAGAGACAGACUCACAGAGAGAAUCCCAUAACUUCUCUCGAACCAAUCGCCUCAGUUUUGGACCAAUCGUCUGCAGCGGUCGACCAGAAAGGAACAAACUGCGGGAAUAUCAAUGAAAAGGUUUCCGAUGUGACCGAGUACGCCUUCUUUGACCCGAAACUUGUAACGGGAGACAACUCUGUGAAAGCGGCGAAGGUCAGCAAGAAGCCAAGCGUGGCGGCCAGGAUGGGCAACUGGCUUAGACGUUUGUUUUCCUGCACAAAGAAGUCUGAGUGCGUGGACUGAUGCCAUUAUUGUUAAAGAAAGCAAUUUUGUAUUGUUGAACGCGACGCAAAAGUUUUCAGGUAAAAUAAAUUAUAUGUUAGAACACAA
This is a long non-coding RNA of Dreissena polymorpha, 972 nucleotides long. RefSeq lists it as uncharacterized. Lineage: Eukaryota; Metazoa; Mollusca; Bivalvia; Myida; Dreissenidae. The transcript has 3 exons. The record is from RefSeq and is a predicted model, not a curated record.